GUGCUUGAUUCGGCAGCAUAUAUACUAAAAUUGGAAUGCCACAGAGAAGGUUAGCAUGACCCCUGUGCAAGGAUGGCAUGCAAAUUAAUGAAGCCAUCCAUAUUUUA
Molecule: small nuclear RNA, 107 nt
Organism: Rhinopithecus bieti (black snub-nosed monkey)
Lineage: Eukaryota; Metazoa; Chordata; Mammalia; Primates; Cercopithecidae
Source: Ensembl